Molecule: ribosomal RNA, 1063 nt
Filed under: Escherichia coli
Lineage: Bacteria; Pseudomonadati; Pseudomonadota; Gammaproteobacteria; Enterobacterales; Enterobacteriaceae
Description: partial 16S ribosomal RNA
Rfam family: Bacterial small subunit ribosomal RNA (bases 1-474)
Source: RNAcentral
GGUAACAGGAAGCAGCUUGCUGCUUUGCUGACGAGUGGCGGACGGGUGAGUAAUGUCUGGGAAACUGCCNGAUGGAGGGGGAUAACUACUGGAAACGGUAGCUAAUACCGCAUAACGUCGCAAGACCAAAGAGGGGGACCUUAGGGCCUCUUGCCAUCGGAUGUGCCCAGAUGGGAUUAGCUAGUAGGUGGGGUAACGGCUCACCUAGGCGACGAUCCCUAGCUGGUCUGAGAGGAUGACCAGCCACACUGGAACUGAGACACGGUCCAGACUCCUACGGGAGGCAGCAGUGGGGAAUAUUGCACAAUGGGCGCAAGCCUGAUGCAGCCAUGCCGCGUGUAUGAAGAAGGCCUUCGGGUUGUAAAGUACUUUCAGCGGGGAGGAAGGGAGUAAAGUUAAUACCUUUGCUCAUUGACGUUACCCAAAGGGAUUCCCACCUCUUUAAUUUCCCUGGACGUCUAAAAACGAAGGGGGCUUCCUUUUUGAAUAAUAGAGAUAAUUCCCCCCCUGGGGUGUGUCCCCCCAAGUUAAUUCUCUGAACAUGCGGGGCAUUCCCCCGAGAUGGAAAUUGGGUUUCUCCAGGGCGUGCCUUCCGGGGGAACGCUAAAUGCCAACACUUUGGAGAAUACACAGGGUGAUGCAAACCCUUGACAACCCAGACUUUAGGUCUAACCUUGUCUCCACCAGGCGCAUCCCCCACGUUCCGCCCAAAAUAAUUCACUUGAAGUCUCCCCGGAAGUCGCCCUCCCAACAAACUAUUAUUCCCCUCCAGGGUUUUCCCAGAGGGGCCAAGUAAUUAAAUUUAGUGCCACACGCCGGGGGGGAUUAGGCCAUUUAUCAAAACAGGAAGCCCCCCUUUCCGGCCCCAGGAAUGAAUAAGAGAUUUUUCCUCGGAAAAGGAGAAGGGAGGGAGGAUUUCACCCCCCCGCGAAAAUUUUGUAACCCGGAGGUGUACCAUUCACUUGUGCCCGUGUGGGGGCGCGAGAAAAACCCCCUUCCCCAGAGAAGGGGGUGUUUUUAUUUCUGGGGGGAGACCAAAAAACAGGGGAGCUUCGAGAGAGUC